This 253-nucleotide unclassified non-coding RNA is filed under the name uncultured Verrucomicrobiota bacterium. RNAcentral describes it as "uncultured Verrucomicrobia bacterium contains 16S-23S intergenic spacer region". It matches the Rfam family "Bacterial small subunit ribosomal RNA", at positions 524 to 776 of the family's 1533-position model. The record is from RNAcentral. Lineage: Bacteria; Pseudomonadati; Verrucomicrobiota.
UACGAAGGGAGCUAGCGUUGUUCGGAUUCAUUGGGCGUAAAGGGUGCGUAGGCGGCGGGGCAAGUCUGGUGUGAAAUCCCGGGGCUCAACCCCGGAACUGCACUGGAUACUGCCUUGCUAGAGUACUGGAGAGGGAACUGGAAUUUACGGUGUAGCAGUGAAAUGCGUAGAUAUCGUAAGGAAGACCAGCGGCGAAGGAGAGUUCCUGGACAGUUACUGACGCUGAGGCACGAAGGCCAGGGGAGCAAACGGG